This is a long non-coding RNA of Mustela erminea (ermine), 2589 nucleotides long. RefSeq lists it as uncharacterized. The transcript has 3 exons. The record is from RefSeq and is a predicted model, not a curated record. Lineage: Eukaryota; Metazoa; Chordata; Mammalia; Carnivora; Mustelidae.
CCCGCGGCUCCCUAUUCUGGGAAUCCGUGCCAAACAAAGAACGGAGCUGGAGCAUGAAGACCCGCUUUCAGUUUCCCCUUCCUGCCGCUCCCAGCCUCUGCCCAGCCCAGGGCGAGUCCUUUGUAGCUGCUGGGAGCAGGGCAGAGAGCACAACGGGAGCCUGGGGCAGGGAACAACCCCUCCAACCUUCCGUGGAGCAGAAGCAGGGGUGAGGAGGGCAGAAGCGCCUGAGAGUUUCAAAGGGUGGAGAUGCAGCAAGUUAUCCCACGGGCCCGAGACCAUGGGGCCCCUGGGCCACAGCUCCGAUGGCUUCAGCCAAGUCCACUGACUUACAGCGGGGUCCUUGUAUCGCUGGGACAUUCCACACCCACUUUCUCCCCGAGAGCCAGCAACCACACUUCCCUGGGAUUUUUAUUCCUGAGUGAAGACUAGCUGAAUGCAAUGGCUCCAGUGGAAAAUGCCAAAGCCUCGGGGAAUAGGAUCCCAGAGUCAGCCUAAAGCUGGGUGCCCAGGAGAUCCACCUGGCCAGGAACGUCCGCAUUCCCUUGUGUUCAAAAAAUUAACAUUGACUAAACCACACAGAUUUCAGGGUUGUUACAAUUAGCCUCCUGACUAAUACAGAUCACAUAUUCUGCUGGGGGCCCACGGAGUUCCUCGGUUGGCCAGUUCUCUUGUUACCAUCCCACAGAUCACCCCCCUACACGAACUAGCACAGAAACUGCAGCUGAAAUCAGACCAUGGUCAUUAUUCACCUAAACAUCCUGAAAAAUUAAGUAAGUGACAGAGAAGUUUUCUGGUAUGGGUUUUCAGACAAAAGAGGAACAGUCCCUCUGCUCCCCAGAAAAGUAUUCUCAUCUCAAGUGUUGGGCGGAUGAUUCACUCAUUCAUUCUCAAAAAUGCAUCUUGAGUGUCUGCUCUGUACACUAAAAGGACUUAGGAAACACAGUGAAGUUGUGAUCAAGACAGAGAUAAUCCCCUUGCCUCACAGCGGAUCCACAUUACAAACAGGGACGAAGACAAUGAACAAAUAAUAUGUAAUAAGUGCUCGGAAGGAUGAAACAGAACACAAGUUCAAUGAAAGCAAGUAUUUUCCAACUACUUUGUUCAUGGCUGGGUCCCCAGCAGCUAAAACAGUAACUACUACGUAACAGAUGCUCAAUGUUCAUUGAAUGAAUGAGUAAGUAAAUAAAGUGAUCACAUUCCCUCAGCCCAACCAUCUCCUGCCUCUGAAGCAUCUUUGAGUUGCCGUGGUUGUUUGAAAGUUAUUUCUUAAAUUGGUCCCAUUCUAAUUGCCCCUCUAGAUUCUGUGUCAUUCAUUUUAACAGAGGCCGGAAGACUCAGUCUCUGCGGUAGGAUCCUGUCCUAUCAGUUAAGGGAGGGAAGGGGAGCCUUAUCUCCCACCGGACCCCACCGACAAGGCGCCCUCCAGGAAGAGUGUUGUUGUAGAAGCACAAACACAGAUACCUAGACUGACGACUGUAAAAUGGGGGAUUCUCCCGGGUUUACUAAGCUUAAAGGUUCCUGAGUUUCACCCGCAGGAGUAAGGGGGAGAGGGUUGGGGGGGUUUCUACGUCUUGUAAUUCCAUUUUCUUCAAUCUAGCUUAGUUUUGCAUUUUCGGUGCGGAUGAGUCAUUUGUUACUUCCCUUUUGCCUUUUUAAAACACACACACCUUUUCCCCUGUGCAUAAUCCCUACUCCCACGCAGAGCACGGCAGCCCCGCAAAUCUUCUCUUAGUUCCUAACUGGCCCCUGGAUGAACCUGGGGUAGGGUGGGCGGGGAUGGUUUCGGGCUUGUGCGGGUUUCUGAACAAGCUGCCUAUAUGAUACCAGAUGAUAGGCUCUGGCAUCAUAGACGUCACUGACUGGAGGGCAGAGAAGUCCCUUCUCCACCCAACCCCACUGUGAAAUUUCUUCGGAACAACAUAAGCUUCUGGAAAUUCCCUACGGAAAAGACAAGUCUAUCACAAACACAAUUAAAGGAAAACUGCCUGGAGAAAAUCUACCCAAAUCGUCUAAGAACUCCCAACUUCUGAAUUAAAGCAUGCAAAGAUUCCGCACAGCCCCAUCUAUCAUCCGGAUGGACCCGUGCUCCCCUGCUGUUCCGAUCUGCAAAAUAAAACAUCCCUAAACUCUGUAAUUUAACUCUCAAAUUCUGCAAAACGUGCAACCCAGCAUGCCUUUGCCUCAUGGGAUUCCCCCAAUCAAUGAAUGGAAACGCUGCCUUCCCCUAUGAGAUAGCUGCCCAGAAACAGCUCCUUUCUCCCACGGCUGGGAGCAGCGAGUAUGAAAAAGCUGCUUUUAGCGAUAUAUUUUGUCACCGCCUAGAGAUACAACACAUACUGCCUGCUCCCUGGGCUCCCAACGCGGCAUCCCCACGCCACUUCUCUGGCUGUUUAAGGAAAGCCUGCCAGAGCCGAAGUCGGACCCAAGAAAUCACAGCGCUCCACGCACUUUCCAAAACGCACGCCAGCCCGAGAAGCGCGCGUCCCCCGCGCCAUGCGCCGCGUCUCGGGUUCUAAAAAGCAGCCCGCGGCGAGGAGCGCGCGGAACCGUAACUCCAUCUUUGAAUGAGUCUGUUACUUACCCUGC